Molecule: transfer RNA, 95 nt
Filed under: Fusarium ambrosium
Lineage: Eukaryota; Fungi; Ascomycota; Sordariomycetes; Hypocreales; Nectriaceae
Also listed under: 28 other names
Description: tRNA-Ile
Rfam family: tRNA
About the family: Transfer RNA (tRNA) molecules are approximately 80 nucleotides in length. Their secondary structure includes four short double-helical elements and three loops (D, anti-codon, and T loops).
Source: RNAcentral
GCCCCUGUGGCGCAGUGGGAUAGCGCGUAGCUCUUAUACCUUCAUUACUUGGUGAAGAUAUGCUAAGGUCGUGAGUUCGAACCUCACUAGGGGCA